UUCCGGUUGAUCCUGCCGGACCCGACUGCUAUUUGGGUGAGGAUAAACCAUGCGAGUUGUAUGGGAUACCUAAAAUUCCCAUGGCGAACUGCUUAGUAACACAUGAUCAACUUACCCUAUGGAGAAAAAUAACCUCGGGAAACUGAGGAUAAUGUUUCAUAGUUGAAUAGGCUUGGAAAAGUUUUUCAAUGAAUGGGAUAAGAAAAAUGGUUCUUAUCUGCCAUAGGAUAGGAUCGUGGUCGAUUAUGGUUGUUGGUGAGAUAACGGCUCACCAAGCCGAUAAUCGAUAGGGGCCGUGAGAGCGGGAGCCCCAAGAUGGGUACUGAGACAACGACCCAGGCCUUACGAGGCGCAGCAGGUGCGAGACCUCCGCAAUACACGAAAGUGUGACGGGGUUACCCAAAGUGUUCUCUUUUGAACUGUGGUAGGUGAGUAAUGUCCCCUACUAGAAAGGAGAGGGCAAGGCUGGUGCCAGCCGCCGCGGUAAAACCAGCUCUUCAAGUGGUCGGGAUAAUUAUUGGGCUUAAAGUGUCCGUAGCCGGUUUAGUAAGUUCCUGGUAAAAUCGGAUAGCUUAACUAUCCGCAUGCUAGGAAUACUGCUAUACUAGAGGGCGGGAGAGGUCUGAGGUACUAUAGGGGUAGGGGUGAAAUCUUAUAAUCCUUGUAGGACCACCAGUGGCGAAGGCGUCAGACUGGAACGCGCCUGACGGUGAGGGACGAAAGCCAGGGGAGCGAACCGGAUUAGAUACCCGGGUAGUCCUGGCCGUAAACGAUGCAUACUAGGUGAUGGCACGGCCAUGAGCCAUGUCAGUGCCGUAGGGAAACCGUUAAGUGUGCCGCCUGGGAAGUCGGUCGCAAGGCUAAAACUUAAAGGAAUUGGCGGGGGAGCAC
This 891-nucleotide ribosomal RNA is filed under the name uncultured archaeon. RNAcentral describes it as "bacterial SSU rRNA". It matches the Rfam family "Archaeal small subunit ribosomal RNA", at positions 1 to 879 of the family's 1478-position model. The record is from RNAcentral.